This is a non-coding RNA of Rhodocollybia butyracea, 98 nucleotides long. The record is from the annotation of a GenBank genome assembly. NCBI's taxonomy places the organism in Eukaryota, Fungi, Basidiomycota, Agaricomycetes, Agaricales, Omphalotaceae.
GACGGUGAUGGUUAGUGGUAACCUCUUACGGCGACAGAUUAGAAUUCGCACUCAUCUGUUCCUCUUUGAGGGCGCAGGUUCGAAUCCUGCUGGCGUCG